GAUGAAGAACGCAGCGAAAUGCGAUACGUAGUGUGAAUUGCAGAAUUCAGUGAAUCAUCGAAUCUUUGAACGCACAUUGCACCUCUCGGUAUUCCGGGAGGUAUGCCUGUUCGAGCGUCAUUUGUACCCUCAAGCUCUGCUUGGUGUUGGGUGUUUGUUCCGCCUCUGUGUGUGAACUCGCCUCAAAACAAUUGGCAGCCGGCGUACUUGUUUCGGAGCGCAGCACAUUUUGCGAUACAGAUCAACGUACAGCGGCAUCCAAGAAGCCUUAUUUAACGCUCUUGACCUCGGAUCAGGUAGGGAUACCCGCUGAACUUAAGCAUAUCAAUAAGCGGAGGA
RNAcentral lists this unclassified non-coding RNA (339 nucleotides) under soil metagenome. RNAcentral describes it as "partial contains 5.8S ribosomal RNA, internal transcribed spacer 2, and large subunit ribosomal RNA". The stretch from base 1 to 120 matches the Rfam family "5.8S ribosomal RNA", at positions 35 to 154 of the family's 154-position model. The record is from RNAcentral.